GGGAUAACCCCGGGAAACUGGGGAUAAUACCGGAUAAAUCACAAGUACUGGAAGGUUUUGUGGUUGAAACUUCCGGGGCCUUUGGAUGGGUCUGCGGCUGAUUAGGUUGUUGCCGGUGUAACGUACCGUCAAGCCUGUAAUCAGUACGGGUUGUGGGAGCAAGAGCCCGGAGAUGGAUUCUGAGACACGAAUCCAGGCCCUACGGGGCGCAGCAGGCGCGAAAACUCUACAAUGCAGGCAACUGCGAUAGGGGAACAUCGAGUGAUACUCAUCUUGGGUGUCUGUCCUCCCGUCUAAAAAACGGGAGUUAGCAAGGGCCGGGCAAGACCGGUGCCAGCCGCCGCGGUAAUACCGGCGGCUCGAGUGGUGGCCGAUAUUAUUGAGUCUAAAGGGUCCGUAGCCGGCUUUGCAAGUCUUUUGGGAAAUCCAGCGGCUUAACCGUUGGUCGUCCGGGAGAUACUACAUUGCUUGGGACUGGGAGAGGUAGGAGGUACUCAGGGGGUAGGAGUGAAAUCCUGUAAUCCUUUGGGGACCACCGGUGGCGAAGGCGUCCUACCAGAACAGGUCCGACGGUGAGGGACGAAAGCUAGGGGCACGAACCGGAUUAGAUACCCGGGUAGUCCUAGCCGUAAACGAUGCUCGCUAGGUGUCACAACAAUCGUGAAUUGUUGUGGUGCCGUAGGGAAGCCGUGAAGCGAGCCACUUGGGAAGUACGACCGCAAGGUUGAAACUUAA
This 735-nucleotide ribosomal RNA is filed under the name unidentified archaeon. Its description in RNAcentral is "bacterial SSU rRNA". It matches the Rfam family "Archaeal small subunit ribosomal RNA", at positions 123 to 859 of the family's 1478-position model. The record is from RNAcentral.